AUUUGUUUCACUUCACGUCUCUCUCUGAUGAAAGUAACCCUUGCCUUGAACUCUCCCGGGAACUCUGAGAGGAUGAGCCCGCCCCGUCUACAUUUUGAGUGUCAGAAUGUUCACAUGCUAUGAGCUUCACAGUCAGCAGAUCUCAACCCAGAUAAGCACCUGUGGGAGAUUUUGAUGUUAUGUGUUAGAAAACAGUCUCUACCACCAUCAUCAACACACCAACUGAGGGAAUAUCUUCUGGGCAUCAGUUCCUGUGACUUGACGAAUCUAUGCCACG
Molecule: long non-coding RNA, 277 nt
Organism: Ictalurus punctatus (channel catfish)
Lineage: Eukaryota; Metazoa; Chordata; Actinopteri; Siluriformes; Ictaluridae
Source: Ensembl